RNAcentral lists this ribosomal RNA (559 nucleotides) under Staphylococcus caprae. Its description in RNAcentral is "bacterial SSU rRNA". It matches the Rfam family "Bacterial small subunit ribosomal RNA", at positions 327 to 881 of the family's 1533-position model. Lineage: Bacteria; Bacillati; Bacillota; Bacilli; Caryophanales; Staphylococcaceae. The record is from RNAcentral.
UGGGGGGGCCUUCGGGAGGCAGCAGUAGGGAAUCUUCCGCAAUGGGCGAAAGCCUGACGGAGCAACGCCGCGUGAGUGAUGAAGGUCUUCGGAUCGUAAAACUCUGUUAUUAGGGAAGAACAAAUGUGUAAGUAACUAUGCACGUCUUGACGGUACCUAAUCAGAAAGCCACGGCUAACUACGUGCCAGCAGCCGCGGUAAUACGUAGGUGGCAAGCGUUAUCCGGAAUUAUUGGGCGUAAAGCGCGCGUAGGCGGUUUUUUAAGUCUGAUGUGAAAGCCCACGGCUCAACCGUGGAGGGUCAUUGGAAACUGGAAAACUUGAGUGCAGAAGAGGAAAGUGGAAUUCCAUGUGUAGCGGUGAAAUGCGCAGAGAUAUGGAGGAACACCAGUGGCGAAGGCGACUUUCUGGUCUGUAACUGACGCUGAUGUGCGAAAGCGUGGGGAUCAAACAGGAUUAGAUACCCUGGUAGUCCACGCCGUAAACGAUGAGUGCUAAGUGUUAGGGGGUUUCCGCCCCUUAGUGCUGCAGCUAACGCAUAAGCACUCCGCCUGGAACUU